This is a long non-coding RNA of Hippocampus comes (tiger tail seahorse), 191 nucleotides long. RefSeq lists it as uncharacterized. NCBI's taxonomy places the organism in Eukaryota, Metazoa, Chordata, Actinopteri, Syngnathiformes, Syngnathidae. The transcript is spliced from 2 exons. The record is from RefSeq and is a predicted model, not a curated record.
ACCUCUGCUCCUAAAAAUGUCAUUUCUUGACUCUGAUAGAUGUAACAGCGGUGCUCCAACUCAACCCAGCCCUCCGGACACCGAUUCCACUUCACCGCCCCACUGAUCACGCAAAGGAGGAGGAAUGAGCGAAGAGUCAAUGCCAUCUGUACAAUUAUGGAAAAACACUUAUUUGGAACAAAUAAAGAGGG